UUUUUGUCUCACCCAAAGUGAUCCUUAUUGUUCUUUUAAAUUUAUAACAUAAUUGUGUGUUUACUGUUCAAAUAUUGCUAAAAAACAUAUUAUUAUUAAAUGUUAAACUAUGUUUUUACGUCCAUGGAAACUGUCUCAUAAUGGCUUAAUAAUAAUCAAAAUCACAUUCAAUAUACAUUAUAAUUUGAUUUAACGGACGCGACUGUAAAUUAGUAAUAAUAUUGUGCACAAAAACAAACACAAAAAUCAUCAUGGUGAAUUUGGUCGAACCUCCACUUCUUGCUGUCGGUACUGAGGUCAGUGUCUAGUAUAAAGGAGCAUUUUGUGAUGCAAAGAUCAGGAAAAUCUCAAAAUCAGUAAAAUGCAAGAUUGGUGCAAAUGUAAUGAAAAGAAAGAAUUAUAAGAAGGAACAAUUAAAAAAAUACAGGACUAUAGUCAAAACACUGGAAAGUGGAGAGGAAGACAUUUUAGAAAUGGAAAAAAAAGACAUUGGUAACAUGGUGUGCAUAGAGUUCAAUAACAAAAAAAAAGUCAGAGACAAUUGGUUUCCCGGGUUAGUGCUAGCGCCUACUGCACAAUUUGCAGUUAAAACAAACGUUUUGGAAGACUACUUGGUUUGUUCUUUUAAAGAUGAAAAAUACUGUACAGUUUUGAAAAAAGAAAUUACAGAAUUUACAAAAGAAAUAGCCCCCAAAGUAGAAAAUCCUCCUUUAAAAACGGGUAUUUAUUUUAAUUACAGCAUUGUUAUUUUAUUUUUAUAAAUAUCUUUUCGUUAAUACAAUUAAAAUUUCUAUAGCUGUUGAAAAAGCGAUUUUAUAUCUGGACAAAGAUGAACUUUGGCCACUUUUAGGACCGUGACUUACUGUUUGGACUCGAAAAAAACUGUGUCAUGACAGUGAAGGCGUUAUAAUAUUGAUGUAAAAAAUUAAAAUUUAAUACAUUUCCAUUUGGUAAUUAAGGCAGAAGUUAGUUAGUUUUCUUUAUUAAUUUUAGGUAAUUCUUUUUUUGCCACAUUUGAAAUAUAAUUUUCCAUCUUUGUUAACAUUGUUAGUCAAAUAACUGAACCGCUUUUACAGAUAAUUCCGUUUUGACUUAUCAUGUUCUGUCAUAAUGCUACAGAUUUAUUUUUAUCCUUUAUCUGUUUACAAUAAAAUUAUCAACAUUUCUUAGAACUCCAAUUAAGAAUCUAUUGAAGACCAUUUUGGGCACUAUUAUUCAAUUUUAUGGAUGUCCGAGGAACACCUAUAAAAACCAAGCACCCAUGAUUAACGACAAAAAUGUUGAUAUGUACAAACUGUUCAAGGUAUUUAAUCGAUAUUUAAUUUAGCUUAAAGUACACGUUAGCGUAAAGAGAAUCUAUUGAACAUUCAAUUGGGUGUUUAAUGAUUGUCAGUACAGUAGCUGUUAAUAAAACUAACUGAUACAGUGUUUUAUUAUGUUGACACAAUUUUCAAAAUAGAUUCGAAAAAAAUAUAUGUUUGAAUUGCUUUUGGUGUGUUAUUAAGUUAUACAUUAUAGAUUGAUAUUGAUUGUUAAAGAAUCUUAUGCAAUGUAUAUUAUAAUAUCAUGAUGUGGCUUAACGGGUCUUGAAGGUCCAACUCUGCUAUCAUGAGAUUGUUUCUAGAUGAAUUCGCUAUCCAGAACGGAUUGUCAGUCCGAAGAAGUUGUCAUUAACUUGGGCGGUUUUAACAAAGUCGGUAAAUGUUAACAGUGGAUAACUGGCACAAAGGAUUGGCCACAAACCGUGUUUCUUCUGUCAAACAAUAUUACCAACAGUAAGUGUAUCUACAUAGUAUUGAAGAUUUCUACCGAAAACUCGGCUGCUUGAUGAUAAGUCAUCUUAGAGGAGUGAGAUCUGGAAGCAGAUUUAGUCGCAGUAUCAUUCAUGAUGUGGAUAAAGCGUUACCCUCUAGCAGUUUUGAUAAGAACAGGCAAACGACUAUUGCCAUUAAAUUAGAACCUAAGGAAUAAAAAGAAAAAAUAGAAACUUUCAUAAAGGAAGCCGAUAUUGUCAAAGAACCGGUGACACCAAAAAAACCUUCCAAAACUUUAAAAAUCGAAGACAAGGUUGCUUUAACUAUGAAGAGUAGUGAUAAACAUGUUGCUAAGAAAGUAGAUAAGAAAAAAGCCAGACCUGAAACAAUCGGAAAGAAAACGGAACCGUUUGUCUGAAAAAAAGCCUUUGAAAACCGUAAGGGUAGAAGAGAAGGUGGCAGCAACAUUAAAGAACAACAUUGAAAUUCCACACAAAGUUGACAGAAAAAAAGAAAAGUCUGAAAUCGUUUUGAAAGAAAAGGAAAUGGCUACUGAGUCUGUGACUAAAAAGCCAGGUAAAACGAAAAUAGAAGAAACAAUUACUUGUCCUGGUAAUAGUGCUCGAAACAAAUCUACUGUUAAAAGUGACUCUGUACUGGCUGAAUCAAAAGAUCUUCCUAAGGACAGCAAGGUUAAAAAGGAAUUUAAAGAAGCUACUGUUUAAAAAAAGAAGGAAAAUGAUUGAGGAAAAACGCCAUUGUUAAAAAAAUCCAAAGAGAAGCUUCUGCUAACCAAAUUACAGCCAAACCAAAAACUACAGUACGUAUUUUAACAAAAGUUAUUCUAUUUCAUUAUCUAGCUUUGUUAUUUUCAAAAAAAUAUGCAAAUGGAUCAAUGAUAAGAUUAUCAUGGCAUACAUACAUUUCAAAAAAUCAUAGAAAAAAACUGAUAAUGCUAGACGCUUGCUAAAAAGACCGAAUGAAAGUGGCAACACUGUACAAAUCUCAUCAAUCGAAAAUAAUUGUGAAUGAGAUCUCUAAAAAAAAUCUCACAACCAAUUUUUUGAAAAAAAUUGAGAUUUAGAAUUACAUCUCAUGGCUGUUACAAAUAACAAAGUAAAAAAACCCGUGGCGGUCAACGUGUUAAGUACAUCUUUUAUCUUUUGUAAGUACCCAAAAAGCCUACGCCAAUGACAAGAGUUGAUCGAUUUCAAACAUUAAUAUGUUAGCUGUGUUCAAUCUACUGUCAAGUCUCAAAUAAAUACAAAUGUGAUUGACCGUUAUUCAUUUGAUCAGUUUGUAAAUAAAUUGCAUUAAGUAGAGUAAUUGUAACUCGAUAGGCCAUGUAAGUGCAACUGCUAGUGUUUAAUCGAUGCUCUUUAAUUUUAAUUAAAUUUUACUACAAUCAUUAGAUGUGUAAGCGAUUUAACGUAAACAAAAACAAAAAAAAUAUUUUAUGUAAUUAGUUGAUGUAACCAUCUUAACAAUGCAGACUUUUUUUAUUGA
This is a long non-coding RNA of Adelges cooleyi (spruce gall adelgid), 3260 nucleotides long. RefSeq lists it as uncharacterized. The transcript is spliced from 8 exons. Lineage: Eukaryota; Metazoa; Arthropoda; Insecta; Hemiptera; Adelgidae. The record is from RefSeq and is a predicted model, not a curated record.